RNAcentral lists this ribosomal RNA (311 nucleotides) under uncultured bacterium. Its description in RNAcentral is "bacterial SSU rRNA". It matches the Rfam family "Bacterial small subunit ribosomal RNA", at positions 28 to 340 of the family's 1533-position model. The record is from RNAcentral.
GACGAACGCUGGCGGCGUGCUUAACACAUGCAAGUCGAGCGGUAAGGCCCUUUCGGGGGUACACGAGCGGCGAACGGGUGAGUAACACGUGGGUGACCUGCCCUCAGCUCUGGGAUAAGCCUGGGAAACUGGGUCUAAUACUGGAUAUGACUCCACGGUGCAUGUCGUGGGGUGGAAAGCCUUGUGCGGCUGAGGAUGGGCCCGCGGCCUAUCAGCUUGUUGGUGGGGUGANGGCCUACCAAGGCGACGACGGGUAGCCGGCCUGAGAGGGCGACCGGCCACACUGGGACUGAGACACGGCCCAGACUCCU